This is a non-coding RNA of Caenorhabditis elegans, 147 nucleotides long. The record is from Ensembl. NCBI's taxonomy places the organism in Eukaryota, Metazoa, Nematoda, Chromadorea, Rhabditida, Rhabditidae.
CCGGUUUUGGGGUAGGUUUCCACGGCGGCCGACAAUUUCCGAGUUUCGCCACUCACUAUACUUAAUCAGCAAUUUUAUAGUGAGUGGCGAAACUCGGAAAUUGUCGGCCGUCGUGGAUAGCUACCCCCAACCGGACGCAUGUGCGUC